This 475-nucleotide long non-coding RNA is filed under the name Sus scrofa (pig). RNAcentral describes it as "lncRNA (ENSSSCG00030016862.1)". The record is from RNAcentral. Lineage: Eukaryota; Metazoa; Chordata; Mammalia; Artiodactyla; Suidae.
GAUUACUUGAAUGUUGGAGUGAGUUGGCAGCCAAGAUGGCUACCUCCCCUCCCUUCUCCAGGAAGCCGGGCUUGUCCUGCUGUAUUUUCCCUCUUUGGAACAGCAGGCAAUUUUUAGAAGUUUUUUCUUGAGCCUGUUGGUGCCCAAGCAUGGAUUCUGAAAUUCAGAGAGAAUGAAAUGACUGAAGGGAAGUUGAGCCACCACAUUAAAGGAAGGGAAAAUGCAGUUGCAGGUGAAUUCUGGGAGUAGAAGAGAGAAUAAAAGUGAAUAAAAGAACAGCUGCAAACCUCCACGAACUCAGUGGACCUUGGGAGAAGAAUGAGAAGAGUAACAGGCACUGCAACAUUGGAAAGAGUGCUGCACUUGGCAUUUGACAUCCCGGCUCUGCUUCUCAUGAACUGGGUCCCUUUGCAAGCAGCUUCAUCUCUGUGAGUUUCAGAUUCCUCAUUUGUAAAUUGUAGAUAAAUCACUACCU